AUGGCGAUCCUGAAAGCAAAACAAAUUGCGGUUAUAAGUUCGAGCGCGCUAUAGUUUCACGAAUGCUGAAAUCGCAGUGUUUAGAAACUUGUUAAGUUUUUAGAGCAGCGGUUAUCAGAUUAAAGACUUGAUGCAAGCGCAUAUGUUUAAUUUUUAUUUCGCUUUAUUUCCUGCUGCCGGUUAUUGCUUGUUUUGAAUUUCCGUUUGGUCGCUCGGUUCGAAUCAAGUUAAUUCCAGUCGAGUCCAUGUCCAACCUUCAUUUUGCGCGUUGAACUGUUGGAAUGACACGAAAGUAGACAAAGCAAAAGAAAUUGAAUUUUGAGAUAACGGCGUCAUAGUGGUAUAGCAACUAAUUAAACUCUCGCAUCUCUGCCAAAAUCUUUUGUCCAGAUGCAAUCGAAUUCUCCGAUAGUCUUUCGCUCUUGAGUUCCUGAUACUAUACUUUGAUGAUCCUAACAACUUUUUUUUUGCUUUAGAUUCAUUAAGACAUAAUGUCACAAGUAGUUGGGAAAUGCCCAACCAAAAAACUUCGAAUCUUAGUUUAUUACCCCUCAUUAUAAAAAAUGGUUAUCAAAGCGAGUUUAGCAGGGCGUUUGAAACCAUUUCCAAAAGGGCGCAAAAGGGAGAGAUAGGUUUCAUUUCCAUCUAAUGUUAUGCAAACAAGUGGGCUAAGUUUCAACAAAUUCCCCCUCCUUUCUUUUGAAUUGUUGCCUUGGGUUUCAGAUGUCGACCGAAUGAGUCUAGUGACUCCAGUCUUUGCGCUGUCAGCAGAGAGUUCGCUAGGAAGUGUAGUAGUGUCUGUAUUAUCUUUAACUAGUUAACGUCCAGUUUUAAAUAGUUUUUACUUCAACAUGUCCUGCAAAUUAAAUCAAUGCUGUUGCGGCUACCCACUCCGGACCGGUACCACAGCGAUUAGCGCCUUCUCGUUGAUUUCUUCAUUUUUAUCAAUCAUUCGGAUUGUACUUAACUUCUCCACGCUCAAAAGAAUUUCGUCGAAUGACGCCAAAAUGUUAUAUGAUUAUAAUGUCGGCCAGUUGGUAGGUGCGAUGGCCUUAAUGUUUAUGACCUUUCUUGUUCUGGUCGCCGCC
Daphnia pulicaria is the source of this 1088-nucleotide long non-coding RNA. RefSeq lists it as uncharacterized. The transcript has 3 exons. The record is from RefSeq and is a predicted model, not a curated record. Lineage: Eukaryota; Metazoa; Arthropoda; Branchiopoda; Diplostraca; Daphniidae.